GACGGGGGUAUUGAAGCUAGAUAAGCGAGCCGUAGUUGCCUAGUCUACGUUAAAAGAGGCACGUUUAAAAAUAAACGCAAAAAAUAACAAUAAUUACGCUUUAGCUGCAUAGGCAGCAACCGCUAAGCGGUGCGUCGUCAGUCCUUAUUUACCUGUAGGUAAGGAAUCUGGCGUCAAAUAUACAGGAAAACUCCGUGUGAGCUCCUAGUAGCAUGGGGGACUUAUAGGAUAGCGGAGGACAGAGCCUGCUAAUGGGCGCUGUCUGAUGCGAAACAAACAAAACAUUAGCUGCGCUCGGAGAAAGUCUUGUGGAAAUGCUUUCGGACGCGAGUUCGACUCUCGCCACCUUCACCA
Molecule: transfer-messenger RNA, 354 nt
Filed under: Thermoanaerobacteraceae bacterium
Lineage: Bacteria; Bacillati; Bacillota; Clostridia; Thermoanaerobacterales; Thermoanaerobacteraceae
Description: partial transfer-messenger RNA
Rfam family: transfer-messenger RNA
About the family: Bacterial tmRNA, also known as 10Sa RNA or SsrA, is named for its dual tRNA and mRNA-like properties. Its role is to liberate the mRNA from a stalled ribosome.
Source: RNAcentral